GAUGAACGCUAGCGGCAGGCUUAACACAUGCAAGUCGAGGGGUAUCACGCUUUCGGGCGUGAGAGACCGGCGCACGGGUGCGUAACGCGUAUGCAAUCUACCUUUUGCAGAGGGAUAGCCCAGAGAAAUUUGGAUUAAUACCUCAUAGUAUAGAACAAUCGCAUGAUUGAACUAUUAAAGUCACAACGGCAAAAGAUGAGCAUGCGUCCCAUUAGUUAGUUGGUAAGGUAACGGCUUACCAAGACUACGAUGGGUAGGGGUCCUGAGAGGGAGAUCCCCCACACUGGUACUGAGACACGGACCAGACUCCUACGGGAGGCAGCAGUGAGGAAUAUUGGACAAUGGGCGCAAGCCUGAUCCAGCCAUGCCGCGUGCAGGAUGACGGUCCUAUGGAUUGUAAACUGCUUUUGUACAGGAAGAAACACCUCUACGUGUAGAGACUUGACGGUACUGUAAGAAUAAGGAUCGGCU
RNAcentral lists this ribosomal RNA (471 nucleotides) under uncultured bacterium. RNAcentral describes it as "bacterial SSU rRNA". It matches the Rfam family "Bacterial small subunit ribosomal RNA", at positions 28 to 498 of the family's 1533-position model. The record is from RNAcentral.